This 245-nucleotide ribosomal RNA is filed under the name uncultured bacterium. RNAcentral describes it as "partial 16S ribosomal RNA". It matches the Rfam family "Bacterial small subunit ribosomal RNA", at positions 524 to 768 of the family's 1533-position model. The record is from RNAcentral.
UACGUAGGGGGCAAGCGUUGUUCGGAAUCACUGGGCGUAAAGGGAGCGUAGGCGGAACCGUAAGUUAGAAGUUUAAUUCCCGGGCUUAACCCGGGGCUGGCUUUUAAUACUGCGGUCCUUGAGUAUGGAAGAGGGAGAUGGAAUUCCAGGUGUAGCGGUGGAAUGCGUAGAUAUCUGGAAGAACACCAGUAGCGAAGGCGGUCUCCUGGUCCUAUACUGACGCUGAGGCUCGAAAGUUAGGGGAG